CAAUAGCGUAUAUUAAAGUUGUUGCGGUUAAAAAGCUCGUAGUUGGAUUUCUGCCGAGGACGACCGGUCCGCCCUCUGGGUGUGUAUCUGGUUUGGCCUGGGCAUCUUCUUGGAGAACGUAGCUGCACUUGACUGUGUGGUGCGGUGUCCAGGACUUUUACUUUGAGGAAAUUAGGGUGUUUCAAGCAGGCACACGCUUUGAAUACAUUAGCAUGGAAUAAUAAGAUAGGACCUCGGUUCUAUUUGGUUGGUUUCUAGAGCUGAGGUAAUGAUUAAUAGGGAUAGUUGGGGGCAUUCGUAUUUAACUGUCAGACGUGAAAUUCUUGGAUUUGUUAAAGACGGACUACUGCGAAAGCAUUUGCCAAGGAUGUUUUCAUUGA
This 380-nucleotide ribosomal RNA is filed under the name uncultured eukaryote. Its description in RNAcentral is "partial 18S ribosomal RNA". It matches the Rfam family "Eukaryotic small subunit ribosomal RNA", at positions 592 to 976 of the family's 1831-position model. The record is from RNAcentral.